UUAGUAAGCUGGGUGAUUACCUUCUCGGUAGAUAUUAUCGUGGGGGAGGAAAGUCCGAACACUCUCUCCCGCCAAACGGCGGGGAUAAAAAGAUAGGGGGUAAUACCCCCCGGCUGUAAAGCUAGAGGUGCGAGCAGAGACGCUUCGAGUUGAAAAACGAGAAGCGCCCUCCAUAGCUUAAAGCGAAGGAGGGCGAGUUCAGCUAUAAAAAGAAGGCUGAAGUGAAACGGCUAAAUCCUUAUUGGGUGCAAGAACGAACCAAAAACCUGGUUUAUCUAGAGUUUUGGGAAAAGUAGUUCGCAUGAGCCUUGGGGUAACUCAAAGCCAAGACAAAUGAUCACCUAACCUCUUAAGAGAUAGCUUUUUUCUGAUGAGGGUGAACAAAAUUCGGCUUAUAGGCUUACUAAGACA
RNAcentral lists this RNase P RNA (411 nucleotides) under Candidatus Nealsoniibacteriota bacterium. Its description in RNAcentral is "Candidatus Nealsonbacteria bacterium RNase P RNA component class A". It matches the Rfam family "Bacterial RNase P class A". From Rfam's summary of the family: Ribonuclease P (RNase P) is a ubiquitous endoribonuclease, found in archaea, bacteria and eukarya as well as chloroplasts and mitochondria. Lineage: Bacteria; Candidatus Nealsoniibacteriota. The record is from RNAcentral.